Molecule: ribosomal RNA, 497 nt
Filed under: uncultured bacterium
Lineage: Bacteria
Description: partial 16S ribosomal RNA
Rfam family: Bacterial small subunit ribosomal RNA
Source: RNAcentral
GAUGAACGCUGGCGGCGUGCCUAAUACAUGCAAGUCGAGCGAACGGACGAGAAGCUUGCUUCUCUGAUGUUAGCGGCGGACGGGUGAGUAACACGUGGAUAACCUACCUAUAAGACUGGGAUAACUUCGGGAAACCGUAGCUAAUACCGGAUAAUAUUUUGAACCGCAUGGUUCAAAAGUGAAAAACGGUCUUGCUGUCACUUAUAGAUGGAUCCGCGCUGCAUUAGCUAGUUGGUAAGGUAACGGCUUACCAAGGCAACGAUGCAUAGCCGACCUGAGAGGGGGUACGGCCGCAGUGGAACUGAGACACGGUCCAGACUCCUACGGGAGGCAGCAGUAGGGAAUCGUCCGCAAUGGGCGGAAGCCUGAAGGAGCAACGCCGAGUGAGUGAUGAAGGUCUUCGGAUCGUAAAACUCUGUUAUUAGGGAAGAACAUAUGUGUAAGUAACUGUGCACAUCUUGACGGUACCUAAUCAGAAAGCCGCGGCUAACUACGUG